This 2992-nucleotide ribosomal RNA is filed under the name Salmonella enterica subsp. enterica serovar Saintpaul. RNAcentral describes it as "23S ribosomal RNA". It matches the Rfam family "Bacterial large subunit ribosomal RNA". RNAcentral also lists the same sequence under 1 other name. The record is from RNAcentral. Lineage: Bacteria; Pseudomonadati; Pseudomonadota; Gammaproteobacteria; Enterobacterales; Enterobacteriaceae.
GGUUAAGCGACUAAGCGUACACGGUGGAUGCCCUGGCAGUCAGAGGCGAUGAAGGGCGUGCUAAUCUGCGAUAAGCGCCGGUAAGGUGAUAUGAACCGUUAUAACCGGCGAUACCCGAAUGGGGAAACCCAGUGUGAUUCGUCACACUAUCAUUAACUGAAUCCAUAGGUUAAUGAGGCGAACCGGGGGAACUGAAACAUCUAAGUACCCCGAGGAAAAGAAAUCAACCGAGAUUCCCCCAGUAGCGGCGAGCGAACGGGGAGGAGCCCAGAGCCUGAAUCAGCAUGUGUGUUAGUGGAAGCGUCUGGAAAGGCGCGCGAUACAGGGUGACAGCCCCGUACACAAAAGCGCAUGUGCUGUGAGCUCGAUGAGUAGGGCGGGACACGUGGUAUCCUGUCUGAAUAUGGGGGGACCAUCCUCCAAGGCUAAAUACUCCUGACUGACCGAUAGUGAACCAGUACCGUGAGGGAAAGGCGAAAAGAACCCCGGCGAGGGGAGUGAAAAAGAACCUGAAACCGUGUACGUACAAGCAGUGGGAGCACAGGUUUACCUGUGUGACUGCGUACCUUUUGUAUAAUGGGUCAGCGACUUAUAUUCUGUAGCAAGGUUAACCGUAUAGGGGAGCCGGAGGGAAACCGAGUCUUAAUUGGGCGUUAAGUUGCAGGGUAUAGACCCGAAACCCGGUGAUCUAGCCAUGGGCAGGUUGAAGGUUGGGUAACACUAACUGGAGGACCGAACCGACUAAUGUUGAAAAAUUAGCGGAUGACCUGUGGCUGGGGGUGAAAGGCCAAUCAAACCGGGAGAUAGCUGGUUCUCCCCGAAAGCUAUUUAGGUAGCGCCUCGUGAAUUCAUCUCCGGGGGUAGAGCACUGUUUCGGCUAGGGGGCCAUCCCGGCUUACCAACCCGAUGCAAACUGCGAAUACCGGAGAAUGUUAUCACGGGAGACACACGGCGGGUGCUAACGUCCGUCGUGAAGAGGGAAACAACCCAGACCGCCAGCUAAGGUCCCAAAGUCAUGGUUAAGUGGGAAACGAUGUGGGAAGGCCCAGACAGCCAGGAUGUUGGCUUAGAAGCAGCCAUCAUUUAAAGAAAGCGUAAUAGCUCACUGGUCGAGUCGGCCUGCGCGGAAGAUGUAACGGGGCUAAACCAUGCACCGAAGCUGCGGCAGCGAACGUAUCACCCAAGACAACUUUACGGAGUUGACGAUUGACGGAGCGAAGCGACGUCAAAGCGUUCAUUAAAGUCGAGUUGGCUUAGGGAUACGUUCGUUGGGUAGGGGAGCGUUCUGUAAGCCUGUGAAGGUGUGUCGUGAGGCAUGCUGGAGGUAUCAGAAGUGCGAAUGCUGACAUAAGUAACGAUAAAGCGGGUGAAAAGCCCGCUCGCCGGAAGACCAAGGGUUCCUGUCCAACGUUAAUCGGGGCAGGGUGAGUCGACCCCUAAGGCGAGGCCGAAAGGCGUAGUCGAUGGGAAACGGGUUAAUAUUCCCGUACUUGGUGUUACUGCGAAGGGGGGACGGAGAAGGCUAUGUUGGCCGGGCGACGGUUGUCCCGGUUUAAGCGUGUAGGUGUGUGUUCCAGGUAAAUCCGGUUCACUUUAACACUGAGGCGUGACGACGAGGCACUACGGUGCUGAAGCAACAAAUGCCCUGCUUCCAGGAAAAGCCUCUAAGCAUCAGGUAACAUCAAAUCGUACCCCAAACCGACACAGGUGGUCAGGUAGAGAAUACCAAGGCGCUUGAGAGAACUCGGGUGAAGGAACUAGGCAAAAUGGUGCCGUAACUUCGGGAGAAGGCACGCUGACACGUAGGUGAAGUGAUUUACUCAUGGAGCUGAAGUCAGUCGAAGAUACCAGCUGGCUGCAACUGUUUAUUAAAAACACAGCACUGUGCAAACACGAAAGUGGACGUAUACGGUGUGACGCCUGCCCGGUGCCGGAAGGUUAAUUGAUGGGGUCAGCGCAAGCGAAGCUCCUGAUCGAAGCCCCGGUAAACGGCGGCCGUAACUAUAACGGUCCUAAGGUAGCGAAAUUCCUUGUCGGGUAAGUUCCGACCUGCACGAAUGGCGUAAUGAUGGCCAGGCUGUCUCCACCCGAGACUCAGUGAAAUUGAACUCGCUGUGAAGAUGCAGUGUACCCGCGGCAAGACGGAAAGACCCCGUGAACCUUUACUAUAGCUUGACACUGAACAUUGAGCCUUGAUGUGUAGGAUAGGUGGGAGGCUUUGAAGUGUGGACGCCAGUCUGCAUGGAGCCGACCUUGAAAUACCACCCUUUAAUGUUUGAUGUUCUAACGUGGACCCGUUACCCGGGUUGCGGACAGUGUCUGGUGGGUAGUUUGACUGGGGCGGUCUCCUCCUAAAGAGUAACGGAGGAGCACGAAGGUUGGCUAAUCCUGGUCGGACAUCAGGAGGUUAGUGCAAUGGCAUAAGCCAGCUUGACUGCGAGCGUGACGGCGCGAGCAGGUGCGAAAGCAGGUCAUAGUGAUCCGGUGGUUCUGAAUGGAAGGGCCAUCGCUCAACGGAUAAAAGGUACUCCGGGGAUAACAGGCUGAUACCGCCCAAGAGUUCAUAUCGACGGCGGUGUUUGGCACCUCGAUGUCGGCUCAUCACAUCCUGGGGCUGAAGUAGGUCCCAAGGGUAUGGCUGUUCGCCAUUUAAAGUGGUACGCGAGCUGGGUUUAGAACGUCGUGAGACAGUUCGGUCCCUAUCUGCCGUGGGCGCUGGAGAACUGAGGGGGGCUGCUCCUAGUACGAGAGGACCGGAGUGGACGCAUCACUGGUGUUCGGGUUGUCAUGCCAAUGGCACUGCCCGGUAGCUAAAUGCGGAAGAGAUAAGUGCUGAAAGCAUCUAAGCACGAAACUUGCCCCGAGAUGAGUUCUCCCUGAGACUUAGAGUCUCCUGAAGGAACGUUGAAGACGACGACGUUGAUAGGCCGGGUGUGUAAGCGCAGCGAUGCGUUGAGCUAACCGGUACUAAUGAACCGUGAGGCUUAACCUU